RNAcentral lists this ribosomal RNA (467 nucleotides) under uncultured bacterium. Its description in RNAcentral is "bacterial SSU rRNA". It matches the Rfam family "Bacterial small subunit ribosomal RNA", at positions 328 to 792 of the family's 1533-position model. The record is from RNAcentral.
UGCCCAGACUCCUACGGGGGGCAGCAGUGAGGAAUAUUGGUCAAUGGCCGAGAGGCUGAACCAGCCAAGUCGCGUGAGGGAAGAAUGUCCUAUGGAUUGUAAACCUCUUUUGUCAGGGAGCAAAGUCACCCACGUGUGGGUGUUGGAGAGUACCUGAAGAAAAAGCAUCGGCUAACUCCGUGCCAGCAGCCGCGGUAAUACGUAGGGGGCGAGCGUUAUCCGGAAUUACUGGGUGUAAAGGGAGCGUAGACGGCGAGGUAAGCCUGAAGUGGAAGCCCGCGGCCCAACCGCGGAACUGCUUUGGGAACUGUUUUGCUGGAGUAUGGGAGGGGUAAGCGGAAUUCCUGGUGUAGCGGUGAAAUGCGUAGAUAUCAGGAGGAACACCGGUGGCGAAGGCGGCUUACUGGACCAUAACUGACGUUGAGGCUCGAAAGCGUGGGGAGCGAACAGGAUUAGAUACCCUAGUA